GAUGAACGCUGGCGGCGUGCCUAAUACAUGCAAGUCGAGCGAACGGACGAGAAGCUUGCUUUUCUGAUGUUAGCGGCGGACGGGUGAGUAACACGUGGAUAACCUACCUAUAAGACUGGGAUAACUUCGGGAAACCGGGGCUAAUACCGUAUAAUAUUUUGAACCGCAUGGUUCAAAAGUGAAAGACGGUCUUGCUGUCACUUAUAGAUGGAUCCGCGCUGCAUUAGCUAGUUGGUAAGGUAACGGCUUACCAAGGCAACGAUGCAUAGCCGACCUGAGAGGGUGAUCGGCCACACUGGAACUGAGACACGGUCCAGACUCCUACGGGAGGCAGCAGUAGGGAAUCUUCCGCAAUGGGCGAAAGCCUGACGGAGCAACGCCGCGUGAGUGAUGAAGGUCUUCGGAUCGUAAAACUCUGUUAUUAGGGAAGAACAUAUGUGUAAGUAACUGUGCACAUCUUGACGGUACCUAAUCAGAAAGCCACGGCUAACUACGUG
RNAcentral lists this ribosomal RNA (497 nucleotides) under uncultured bacterium. RNAcentral describes it as "partial 16S ribosomal RNA". It matches the Rfam family "Bacterial small subunit ribosomal RNA", at positions 28 to 507 of the family's 1533-position model. The record is from RNAcentral.